RNAcentral lists this ribosomal RNA (253 nucleotides) under uncultured bacterium. Its description in RNAcentral is "partial 16S ribosomal RNA". It matches the Rfam family "Bacterial small subunit ribosomal RNA", at positions 524 to 776 of the family's 1533-position model. The record is from RNAcentral.
UACGUAGGGUGCGAGCGUUGUCCGGAAUUAUUGGGCGUAAAGAGCUCGUAGGCGGUUUGUCGCGUCGACUGUGAGAACCCGAGGCUUAACCUCGGGCCUGCAGUCGAUACGGGCAGACUAGAGUUCGGUAGGGGAGACUGGAAUUCCUGGUGUAGCGGUGAAAUGCGCAGAUAUCAGGAGGAACACCGGUGGCGAAGGCGGGUCUCUGGGCCGAUACUGACGCUGAGGAGCGAAAGCGUGGGGAGCGAACAGG